GAAUUGAAGAGUUUGAUCAUGGCUCAGAUUGAACGCUGGCGGCAGGCUUAACACAGCAAGUCGAACGGUAGCACAUAGGAGUUUGCUCGCUUGGGUGACGAAGUGGCGGACGGGUGAGUAAUGCUUGGGAAUCUGGCUUAUGGAGGGGGAUAACUACUGGAAACGGUAGCUAAUACCGCGUAAUGUCUUAGGACUAAAGAGAUUGGGACCAUUUGGCCACCUGCCAUAAAGAUAGGCCCAAAUUGGAGUUAGGUAGUUGGUGAGGUAAGCUCGCAAGCCCGCGAUCUCUAGCUGGUCUGAGAGGAUGACCAGCCACACUGGGUCUGAGACACGGUCCAGACUCCUACGGGAGGCAGCAGUGGGGAAUAUUGCACAGUGGGGGAACCCUGAUGCAGCCAUGCCGCGUGAAUGAAGAGGCCUUCGGGUUGUAAGUUCUUUCGGUGACAGAGGCGAUUGUUUUUAAUAGACAGGUCGAUUGACGUUAAUCACAGAAAGAAGCACCGGCUAACUCCGUGCCAUACCGCGGUAAUACGGGGUGCGAGCGUUAAUCGGAAUAACUGGGCGUAAAGAGCACGCAGGCGGUUGUUUAAGUGAGGUGUGGCCCGGGCUUAACCUGGGAAUUGCAUUUCAGACUGGACAACUAGGUACUUUUUAGGGAGGGUAGAAUUCCACGUGUAGCGGUGAAAUGCGUAGAGAUGUGGAGGAAUACCGAAGGCGAAGGCAGCCCGCAGGGAAUGUACUGACGCUCAUGUGCGAAAGCGUGGGAGCAAACAGGAUUAGAUACCUGGCCGCCGUAAACGCUGUCGAUUUGGGGAUUGGGUUUAACUCUGGUGCCCGUAGCUAACGUGAUGAUCGACCGCCUGGGAGUACGGCCGCAAAGGUUAAAACUCAAAUGAAUUGACGGGGGCCCGCACAAGCGGUGGAGCAUGGUUUAAUUCGAUGCAACGCGAAGAACCUACUCUUGACAUCCAUGGAAUCUUGUAGAGAUGUAGGUGCCUUCGGGAACCAUGAGACAGGUGCUGCAUGGCUGUCGUCAGCUCGUGUUGUGAAAUGUUGGGUUAAGUCCCGCAACGAGCGCAACCCUUAUCCUUUGUUGUUGCCAGCGAUUAGGUCGGGAACUCAAGGAGACUGCCGGUGAUAAACCGGAGGAAGGUGGGAUGACGUCAAGUCAUCAUGGCCCUUACAGUAGGGCUACACGUGCUACAAUGGCGUAUACAGGGCGGCGAGCCAGCGAUGGGGAGCGAAUCUCAGAAAAGUACGUCUAAGUCGGAUUGGAGUCUGCAACUCGACUCCAUGAAGUCGAAUCGCUAGUAAUCGCAAAUCAGAAUGUUGCGGUGAAUACGUUCCCGGGCUUGUACACACCGCCCGUCACACCAUGGGAGUGGGUUGUACCAGAAGUAGAUAGCUUAACCGAAAGGGGGCGUUUACCACGGUAUGAUUCAUGACUGGGGUGAAGUCGUAACAAGGUAACCGUAGGGGAACUGCGGUUGGAUCACCUCCUUA
This 1503-nucleotide ribosomal RNA is filed under the name Mannheimia haemolytica. RNAcentral describes it as "bacterial SSU rRNA". It matches the Rfam family "Bacterial small subunit ribosomal RNA". The record is from RNAcentral. Lineage: Bacteria; Pseudomonadati; Pseudomonadota; Gammaproteobacteria; Pasteurellales; Pasteurellaceae.